GAGACAAGUGGUGGACCCAGAGCGACAAUUUAGAUAGCAAGCAAGUUCAUAAUGUGAAACUACAUAUUCUUUUAUUUAUUUUAGCUAUACAUUUUAGCGUAAUGUUUGUAUCGUGUCAGUCUGCUGUGCCAGUGCACACUUAGUAGCGCUCUAAAGUAUUCUGCCUAACAAUAUUCUGUAAGAUCUUUAAAAACUCAGAUGUAACUUACAUGAAACUCCUGUAAAUAAACGAACGCCAUCUGGAACUUGGUUAUAGUCGCAUAUUCACAGAUCUAUGGUUAAACAUCUCUUACUAGACUCAGACUACUCAAAACACUUGUUUGCCCUGUCCGCAGAGCAUCCUGGGAUAUGUAGUUUUCUGCUAUGUAAGUAAUUGUAGUUCCUAAUGUUUGUAUUUUAGUUCUUAUAUUAUUUUGGUGUUGUUAAUGUGCACUGUGACCUUUUUUUGUGAUCUUCAGUCAGUUUUCAUUUAUUUGCCAACUGCUUUCUCACUAAGAUGUGUCUGAGGUAGAGGAGGACACAGCCACUUGCAGAAGAACAACUGAUUACAUCUAUAACACAAACACAUUUACUGGUGGUGAUAAUCGUGAGGCCAUUAAACAUAUUUUCUGACAGAAUAGUGUGACAGUUGGGUUCUGGAAGUAAAAAUCCCAUUCAUUUUCUCCUUAGGGAAAUUAAUUACGAACUAUAACUUAUACCAAAAAAAGCCACUCCCAUUAAGCACUGCCAAUUACACAGUCGAGACAAAAACUCAUACAGGGGCAUUUUUGUUACCCCAAUAUCUUGAAUUUUAGGGCAUAACUGCAUUUAUGGAGUUGUUACCCUGCAUCAUAUUUUUCAACAGUCAACUGUAUGAAAUGUAAGGUGAUGUACAGGUCUGGGGCGGGGCCAGUGCAUUAACAGCGUUAAAAUAUUUGAAUCGCUUUUCAUAACUAAUUAAUUAACAUGUUAAACUGACAGCACUACUUAUGAACUAACUAACCCUUUAACAGAUACUUUUUUUUUAAAAAUCCCAAUUGGAAAAAUUUGUGGGAAAAAUACUUCCAAAAAUCAAGGCUGCUGAAAAAGGCACAGUUGCACUCUAUUAAAGCUCACUUGUGGCUUAACCAAUGGUGUGGGUCUGGGGGCGGACCUUUCUGUUUUGUAGAAACCUGUUAAAAAAUUCUUAUAUUUAAAUGGCAUCUACUGUGAUUUUUUAAAUUUUCCCUUUCCCUUUCUCUGACACACAUUCUAUGCAGUUGACCAACCACAACAAAAUGGGCCAGCUGACCAAUUAGAGCAGACUGGGUAUUUUAGAAAGGCAGGCUUUAAAGAGACAGAAACUGAGAAAUGCAUUGUGUUUGUUUGAACUCUAGAUCAUGUAAAUGUAUUCUUUCAGAGCCCAAAAAUAAAAUUAUUAAGUUGUAAAUGAGCAUAACUUGGGCACUUUAAAACAUGUAGACACCUUGACUUCUUGGGUUCAGGCAUUUAAGUUUUUCAUCAAAGAGAUGUAUUUGAGACAAAAGGUCUUGUGAGCAAAAACAGAACCAGGGCAUCUUUAAGCAUGUCUUACUUUCCCUGCAGAAAGAAUGUUUUUGUCACACAGGAGAGAACAGAGGAAACGGGCGAUAAGGAGUCCAAUAAAAACAAGAAGAAAGAAGAAGAAAACUAUCACAGAUGUGCUGACGAGCUCUGAGCCUGUGCCGGGCUCUCCAGCUGACCUUCUGAGCCUUUUGAAGAGUCACCACAGCCAGACCCGCUCUGUUAUUGAGCAGGAGGAACUGACGCUGAGCAUUUGUCUAAAGUGGGCAAAAAUACAGAAGCAGCACACUCAGACCCGGUCAGUGGUGUGCUCAUCAUUUGUGGAUCUGCUCUAAGAACGAUUGAUCUCAUUAAGCAGCUGAUAGUGUUUAAAGGACAAGCUAAAGUGCUGAAGCUGUUCGUAAAACACAUCAAGGUGGACUGUUGUGAUAAAGUAAUUGAGUUAAGAGGGUUUGACUACACAAACACUGUCUGAGAUAUCUGGUUCUGGACUGGAACUACCGAGACUAGAAGCACAGGAGAAUGGUGGAUAUACCAGAGAUGAAAGGAGACUUGCUGAAAAUGAUGGACCAUGGUCUAAUCCAGAGCUGCAGGGAAGGAACAGUUAAAAUAGGACUCUAUUAAGCAAGUGUGUUCUUUGUUAAUUACACAUUCAUGUUCAUUUACUUGUUCAACAUGUAAUAGAGCUAUCGUAA
This is a long non-coding RNA of Cyprinus carpio (common carp), 2216 nucleotides long. RefSeq lists it as uncharacterized. The transcript is spliced from 6 exons. The record is from RefSeq and is a predicted model, not a curated record. Lineage: Eukaryota; Metazoa; Chordata; Actinopteri; Cypriniformes; Cyprinidae.